This is a long non-coding RNA of Aegilops tauschii subsp. strangulata, 984 nucleotides long. RefSeq lists it as uncharacterized. The record is from RefSeq and is a predicted model, not a curated record. Lineage: Eukaryota; Viridiplantae; Streptophyta; Magnoliopsida; Poales; Poaceae.
AAUGGCUGGAAAAUGGAGGAGAUCAGCGCGGGGUGGGAAGGUAUACAGAGGAACGAGAGAGAGAAAGAGGAAGAACAGGCGACCAGGCGACCAGAGGAAGGAGACGACGCGGUCUGCCUUAUCCCGACCUCUUUGGUCAACCGAUGGCCGAAGAGCUCUUCGGUCGCUGGUAGGCCGAAAACGGCCCACUUCGGUCGCUCCCCCAUCGACAGCCAGUCUUCGGCCUAGACGAGCCACUCUUCGGGCAACAGCAGGCUAAAGAGCUCUCUUUGGCUAAGGCUAGGCCGAAAAGCCCGUCUUCGGCCUACGGAAGGCCGACGGGGUCAUAGUAUUACUUUUUUACCCUUAGGUGCUAUAGUUUCCGAAUUUUAUAUAAAAACGUCACAGUUUUGAAAAAAAAAUCCUUCGAUGGCCCUCUCCCGAAAAAAGGUUCGGCGUGCUCGAGGAGCUCUGUUCGCGCUCUCCGCGAAGUCCCAACCCCAACCAUGGCCCGCUCAAAAAAAAAAAAAAAAAAACCAUGGCGAUCGGCGAAACUUCAAGGCGCGCAGCGGCCAUGGCAACCCCAUCGCCUCAUACGAUGAAUCCAGGAGGGGAUCAGGGGGCUCAGGGGGGUGUACAACAGUGGUAUUACCAAAUCACAAAUCUUUUGCUUACAUCAGCAAGUGUAUAUAGUUUUCAAUAUACAUGUGGGUGAAACUCAUAAAGUUUAGGUCCAGAUUUCUUCAAUAGUUGUGCUUCACUUAUGUUUAGGGAAAAUUCAAUAUUCUAUUAUUCUACAAAAUAAAGUUUCAACACUGGUAUUGCAGUUUCACCUUGCGAUUGUGUGUAGUUUUAUUUUCUAAUUGGGGUGUAAAUUUCGUUUUCUCUCUAUUGUAUAAAGUCAACUUGCGAGUAGUUGCUUCUUUUAUUUCAAUCAGGAUUGGCGUGCCACUCUGUAAAACUGCAAAUAGGUUAUUUUGUUUGACUGAUAUCAAAUUUUUCGUA